Gallus gallus (chicken) is the source of this 1576-nucleotide long non-coding RNA. The record is from Ensembl. Lineage: Eukaryota; Metazoa; Chordata; Aves; Galliformes; Phasianidae.
AAUAUUGGCCAUGCCAGUUACAUGCUGGAGGCUAUUUAUAGUCUUCGUUAACAUUUCAUCUGCUAACUGGGGGCUAUACUUCCUGACUUGAUGAAGUUCACUCUCUCUUUAGAUACUACUGAAUCAUCCAGACAGUAAACUUCGUUAUAAGACUGAGUUGGAGGGAGUGAGAGCUAAUGUCCAAAUGCAAAGCCAAGUUCUGUCAUUCCCUUUGGAAGAGAUGAUGUGAAACUACAGAGCCGAUUUGAAGGUGGAGGCCUCACGCCAUGUAAGGACCAACAAGAAGCAGGAAGGACAGACUGGCUUUAGGGCAAGCCAGCAGAUCUGAAGAAUGGGAGCAGGAUGACAGCAUAGUGAUGAUCAAACUCUACUCCCAGAUUCACGUAGCUGAAAUUUGAUCCAUCUUCAGACUUCCUACAAUUCCUCUUCCAUGUGCCCAGAUACAGACAUCAGUUCCUCCUUCCGUAAAUUGUCUGUUGUGAAUGGGAAAGCACACUGGUGAAUUCAGUGCUGGCAUUAAAGAAUAGAAGCCUUUCCUACCCAUGAGCUGCUGCUGCAAACGGUUACAGAGCAGAAUUUAUCAUGAUGCAAGCAAGAUCAUCCUCGGCAGUAAGAAAUGCUAUAUACAGAUGAAGUGGCUCCUGAUGGAUCUGGCAGCUCAAGCACUGACAGAAAGGAUUGGACCCCUUUUUGUGGAAACAACAAGAGAAAAGCUCUGAUUUGGUAUUUAAAUGCUAGAGCUCAAGGGCCUGUCCUUGGGAAGUGCUGACCACUUGAUUUUUGCUGCAGUCAGUUCUUUUUUUCAACACCCUGCACCCAACACCCUCUGUAGACCCAUGGUCUGCCUUAGGGAUUUAUGUCAAAUAUUCUUAUUAGAAACACAGGACAGGAAGGUACCUGACCUACUCAGAACCAUCUUUGAGAAAGUCAUGAAUGGCCUUCAGAGUAGAGCAGGUCAAUGAAAAGGCAGGAAAAGGCAGCAGACCUUCAGGACUGUACUAGAAAUGAAGAGGACAUUUCUCAUUUGGAAUAGAAAUGUACAGAAGUGUCUUAAUAUUACACAGAAAGCAUGGUGGAAAGCUGACACAAGAACCAGAGAGUCUGCUCCCACUGACCUAUUUCAAUGGAACUUUUGACUUAAAGACCCCUUCAGUCGCUAGCAAAGAACAAUAGAUAUUAUUUGUUCAUGAACACAACCACAUGGCAGUAAGAUAAAUAUGCUCUUAACAUUAUAAGCUGAGGUGAUAAAAUCCAAAUCUUAGCCAUAAGAAAAAAUAAAUAAAUAAAGUUGUACAAAACAUUCGUUUGAUCUGAGACAUUUUUAGUACUUUUGGAAAAAGCACAGGGUGAAAACCUACUGUCUGGGACCCAGCCCAUUUAAUACCAGCAGAACAGUCAUUCUACUCAGAGGCGACACCGGGAUGUUUCAGUUCUACAAUUCAUAAUUUUGUAGCAAAUCCUAUAGGAGGCCUCGACAUUUCUGUAGGAACUUCAGUAGCCUUUUCAGAAAAGAUAAUACAAAAGAGGAAAUAAACAAACAAACAAACAAAUAAAUAAAACCCAAUGCUCAUUUACC